AACGAACGCUGGCGGCAGGCCUAACACAUGCAAGUCGAACGAUAAGCCACCUUCGGGUGGUGGACAGUGGCAGACGGGUGAGUAACGCGUGGGAACAUACCCCUCGGUUCGGAAUAACUCAGGGAAACUUGAGCUAAUACCGGAUACGUCCGAGGUUUUGAUCGACCUUGGAGAAAGAUUUAUCGCCGAAGGAUUGGCCCGCGUCUGAUUAGCUUGUUGGUGAGGUAAUGGCUCACCAAGGCGACGAUCAGUAGCUGGUCUGAGAGGAUGAUCAGCCACAUUGGGACUGAGACACGGCCCAAACUCCUACGGGAGGCAGCAGUGGGGAAUAUUGGACAAUGGGCGAAAGCCUGAUCCAGCCAUGCCGCGUGAGUGAUGAAGGCC
Molecule: ribosomal RNA, 384 nt
Filed under: uncultured bacterium
Lineage: Bacteria
Description: partial 16S ribosomal RNA
Rfam family: Bacterial small subunit ribosomal RNA
Source: RNAcentral